CCUGGCGGCUGUAGCGCGGUGGUCCCACCUGACCCCAUGCCGAACUCAGAAGUGAAACGUCGUAGCGCCGAUGGUAGUGUGGGGUCUCCCCAUGUGAGAGUAGGGAAUCGCCAGGC
Molecule: ribosomal RNA, 116 nt
Filed under: Xanthomonas citri pv. citri
Lineage: Bacteria; Pseudomonadati; Pseudomonadota; Gammaproteobacteria; Lysobacterales; Lysobacteraceae
Source: RNAcentral